This 401-nucleotide ribosomal RNA is filed under the name Fusobacteriota bacterium. Its description in RNAcentral is "Fusobacteria bacterium partial 16S ribosomal RNA". It matches the Rfam family "Bacterial small subunit ribosomal RNA", at positions 355 to 774 of the family's 1533-position model. Lineage: Bacteria; Fusobacteriati; Fusobacteriota. The record is from RNAcentral.
UGGGGAAUAUUGCACAAUGGAGGGAACUCUGAUGCAGCGACGCCGCGUGAACGAAGAAGGCUUUCGAGUCGUAAAGUUCUUUCAUAUGGGAAGAUAAUGACGGUACCAUAAGAAAAAGCCCCGGCUAACUACGUGCCAGCAGCCGCGGUAAUACGUAGGGGGCUAGCGUUGUCCGGAAUCACUGGGCGUAAAGGGUUCGCAGGCGGAAAUGCAAGUCAGGUGUAAAAGGCAGUAGCUUAACUACUGUAAGCAUUUGAAACUGCAUAUCUUGAGAAGAGUAGAGGUAAGUGGAAUUUUUAGUGUAGCGGUGAAAUGCGUAGAUAUUAAAAAGAAUACCGGUGGCGAAGGCGACUUACUGGGCUCAUUCUGACGCUGAGGAACGAAAGCGUGGGUAGCAAACA